Molecule: transfer RNA, 71 nt
Filed under: Camelus ferus (Wild Bactrian camel)
Lineage: Eukaryota; Metazoa; Chordata; Mammalia; Artiodactyla; Camelidae
Rfam family: tRNA
About the family: Transfer RNA (tRNA) molecules are approximately 80 nucleotides in length.
Source: Rfam by way of RNAcentral
GGGGGUGUGGCUCACAGGGAGAGCACGUGCCUAGCAGGCACGAGGUCCGGGUUCAGUCCCCAGCACCUCUG